GAAAAGAACCCCGGGAGGGGAGUGAAAUAGAACCUGAAACCCUGCACUUACAAGCUGUGGAAGCACAUUUCUUGUGUGACCGCGUACUUUUUGUAGAACGGGCCAACGAGUUACGUUAAGUAGCAAGGUUAAGCACUUAAGGUGCGGAGCCGUAGCGAAAGCGAGUUUUAACUGAGCGUUCAGUUACUUGACGUAGACCCGAAACCGGGCGACCUACCCAUGAGCAGGAUGAAGCGAAAGUAAAAUUUCGUGGAGGUCCGAACCCACGAGCGUUGAAAAGCUCGGGGAUGACUUGUGGGUAGCGGUGAAAUUCCAAUCGAGCCCGGAGAUAGCUGGUUCUCCCCGAAAUAGCUUUAGGGCUAGCCUCAAGGUGAGAGAUACGGAGGUAGAGCACUGAAUGUCCUAGGGGGUAUUGCACCUACCGAAGACUAUCAAACUCCGAAUGCCGUCAUCUUAUACUUGGGAGUCAGACUGUGGGUGAUAAGAUUCAUAGUCGAAAGGGCAACAGCCCAGAUCGUCAGCUAAGGUCCCUAAAUGUAAGUUAAGUGGUAAAGGAUGUGGGAUUGCACAGACAACCAGGAUGUUGGCUUAGAAGCAGCCACUCAUUCAAAGAGUGCGUAAUAGCUCACUGGUCGAGUGAUCCUGCGCCGAAGAUUUCCGGGGCUAAAACUUACUACCGAAGCUACGGCAUCAGUAAUGAUGGGUAGGGGAGCUUCCCAUACGGGUUGAAGCAUGACCGUAAGGACAUGUGGACAGUAUGGGAGUGAGAAUGUUGGCAUGAGUAGCGAGAUGUGGGUGAGAAUCCCACAGGCCGUAAACCCAAGGUUUCCAGGGGAAGGUUCGUCCGCCCUGGGUUAGUCGGGACCUAAGCUGAGGCCGAAAGGCGUAGGUGAUGGACAACAGGUUGAUAUUCCUGUACUACCGAUAACCGUUUGAGAGAAGGGAUGACACAGUAGGAUAAGCUAAGCACACUGUUGGUUAUGUGUGCCCAAGCAUUGAGGCAGUCAAAGUAGGCAAAUCCGCUUUGAUAAUGCUGGGAUGUGAUGGGGAGCGAAAUUUAGUAGCGAAGUAGCUGAUUUCACACUGUCAAGAAAAGUCUCUAUCGAGGUUAAAGGUACCCGUACCGCAAACCGACACAGGUGGGUGAGGAGAGUAUCCUAAGGCCAGCGAGAGAACUGUUGUUAAGGAACUCGGCAAAAUGACCCCGUAACUUAGGGAUAAGGGGUGCCACCAUCAGGUGGCCGCAGAGAAUAGGCCCAAGCGACUGUUUACCAAAAACAUAGGUUUCUGCUAAGUCGCAAGACGAUGUAUAGGAGCUGACGCCUGCCCGGUGCUGGAAGGUUAAGGGGAUCUGUUAGAGCAAUCGAAGCAGUGAACUUAAGCCCCAGUAAACGGCGGCCGUAACUAUAACGGUCCUAAGGUAGCGAAAUUCCUUGUCGGGUAAGUUCCGACCCGCACGAAAGGCGUAACGAUUUGGGCACUGUCUCAACAACAGACUCGGUGAAAUUGUAAUUCCGGUGAAGAUGCCGGAUACCUGCGACAGGACGGAAAGACCCCAUGGAGCUUUACUGUAGCUUGACAUUGGGUCUUGGUACUACAUGUACAGGAUAGGUGGGAGGCUUUGAAACCAGGACGCCAGUUUUGGCGGAGCCAUCCUUGGGAUACCACCCUUGUAGUACUGGGACUCUAACCAUAGGCCAUGAAUCUGGUCUUGGGACACUGUCAGGUGGGCAGUUUGACUGGGGCGGUCGCCUCCCAAAAGGUAACGGAGGCGCUCAAAGGUUCUCUCAGUACGGUCGGAAAUCGUACGUAGAGUGUAAAGGCAAAAGAGAGCUUGAUUGCAAGACAUACAGGUCGAGCAAGGAUGAAAAUCGGACUUAGUGAUCCGGUGGUUCUGCGUGGAAGGGCCAUCGCUCAACGGAUAAAAGCUACCCUGGGGAUAACAGGCUUAUCUCCCCCAAGAGUCCACAUCGACGGGGAGGUUUGGCACCUCGAUGUCGGCUCAUCACAUCCUGGGGCUGUAGUAGGUCCCAAGGGUUGGGCUGUUCGCCCAUUAAAGUGGUACGCGAGCUGGGUUCAGAACGUCGUGAGACAGUUCGGUCCCUAUCCGUCGCAGGCGUAGGAAAUUUGAGAAGACCUGUCCUUAGUACGAGAGGACCGGGAUGGACGUACCUCUGGUGUACCAGUUGUCCUGCCAAGGGCAUGGCUGGGUAGCUAUGUACGGAAUGGAUAAGCGCUGAAAGCAUCUAAGCGCGAAGCCAACUUCAAGAUAAGAUUUCCCACCGCAAGGGUAAGACCCCAGAAAGACUAUCUGGUUGAUAGGUCGAAGGUGUAAGUGCAGCAAUGUAUUUAGCUUAUCGAUACUAAUAGGUCGAGGACUUGACCAA
Molecule: ribosomal RNA, 2387 nt
Filed under: Clostridioides difficile
Lineage: Bacteria; Bacillati; Bacillota; Clostridia; Peptostreptococcales; Peptostreptococcaceae
Description: bacterial LSU rRNA
Rfam family: Bacterial large subunit ribosomal RNA
Source: RNAcentral